This 460-nucleotide ribosomal RNA is filed under the name uncultured bacterium. Its description in RNAcentral is "partial 16S ribosomal RNA". It matches the Rfam family "Bacterial small subunit ribosomal RNA", at positions 338 to 795 of the family's 1533-position model. The record is from RNAcentral.
CCUACGGGAGGCAGCAGUGAGGAAUAUUGGUCAAUGGACGAGAGUCUGAACCAGCCAAGUAGCGUGAAGGAUGACUGCCCUAUGGGUUGUAAACUUCUUUUAUAUGGGAAUAAAAUGUUCCACGUGUGGGAUUUUGUAUGUACCAUAUGAAUAAGGAUCGUCUAACUCCGUGCCAGCAGCCGCGGUAAUACGGAGGAUCCGAGCGUUAUCCGGAUUUAUUGGGUUUAAAGGGAGCGUAGGUGGAUUGUUAAGUCAGUUGUGAAAGUUUGCGGCUCACCCGUAAAAUUGCAGUUGAAACUGGCAGUCUUGAUUACAGUAGGGGUGGGCGGAAUGCGUGGGGUAGCGGUGAAAUGCUUAGAUAUCACGAAGAACUCCGAUUGCGAAGGCAGUUCACUGGACUGCAACUGACACUGAGGCUCGAAAGUGUGGGUAUCAAACAGGAUUAGAUACCCCUGUAGUC